RNAcentral lists this ribosomal RNA (253 nucleotides) under uncultured bacterium. Its description in RNAcentral is "partial 16S ribosomal RNA". It matches the Rfam family "Bacterial small subunit ribosomal RNA", at positions 524 to 776 of the family's 1533-position model. The record is from RNAcentral.
UACGAAGGGGGCUAGCGUUGUUCGGAAUUACUGGGCGUAAAGGGCGCGUAGGCGGUGUGUCAAGUCAGGCGUGAAAGCCCCGGGCUCAACCUGGGAACCGCGCUUGAGACUGGCACGCUCGAGUUCGGGAGAGGAUGGUGGAAUUCCUAGUGUAGAGGUGAAAUUCGUAGAUAUUAGGAAGAACACCGGUGGCGAAGGCGGCCCACUGGUCCGGUACUGACGCUGAGGUGCGAAAGCGUGGGGAGCAAACAGG